GUAGAUAUGCCGACAUAGCGAAUUUACUUAACCAAAAGAGAAUGUAGACAUAUCCUACGUUCGUUACAAGUAUUUCCAUAAUUCAACUGAAACGUAACUGAAACAACUAUCUGAGAUGUGGGAAAAUCAAAUAGCAACGCUUUUAUAUAGUUUUAGGUAAGACUGAAAAUCAGAUUUUUCCUUUCUACAUACAAGACAGUUUGUCUUUGCAACUCAAGCAGUCUUUGGAAAUUUUUUCGUCUCUUUAAACUUGUUGGACAUGAUUAUUUGUAAGUUCUUUGUAUAUGUGCAUUUAGCUUCUUACAGCUUUCUUGAGGUGAUUUCUAGGAUUUUUUCAUUUCUAGUUGACAUUUGAUACUACCACAAUCUUAAGUACCUUGAGAUAUCUUCACUGAUCAUUUUCCUUUGUUAUGUAGAAGGGUGUCCAUAUUGGUAACUAAGUUUUGUCAGUUGGUUUCAUCUAAUAAAUUGAUUGAUCUCUCACUUCUUAAGUCCUAUCAUGUUCUAUGAUUAAUUUCAGAGAGCUAUCUUUGACCAACUUAUUAGUUGAAAUUCAAUGUUUUGUUUAAAUAGAUUUAACAAAUUUACAUGAUUAGAUAAUAUUUUUUGCUAAAAAUAAAGCCUCUUUCAUCUACGAUCUUUUGAUUUCUUGUCGAACCUCAACUCUUUUCAAAUGCAAAAAAUGGGGAGACACUGUAUUUAGUACUGAGGCAGCCUCAAUCACAAUUUUCAUCUAGUAGCAGCACUGGACAAGCUAGUACUAAUAGUAUUAACAGAGGUACAGGUUUUGUGGUCUGAAAUUUAGGGUUUCAUGUCAUUUGGUUGAUUUUGUUAGUCAGACGGAUAAUAAUCAAUUUUAUUAUCUUCGAGUAUCACAGGUCAAGAGCCACAACCCACUGCUGGAGGCUCACGGAAUCAUAUCAGACAGAUUUUACAUUGUUGUCCUAGAAACUUUUAAACUCAGUUGUUAGUAAGAGUCUUUUUCAAGUUUUACCAAAGAAGGGAGGAAAAAGAAAGUGCACAGUAGACUGUGUACACAGGAUGUGGUAGUUGCAGUAGUUACCU
This 1065-nucleotide long non-coding RNA is filed under the name Capsicum annuum. Its description in RNAcentral is "long non-coding RNA (CANN_LNC011592)". Lineage: Eukaryota; Viridiplantae; Streptophyta; Magnoliopsida; Solanales; Solanaceae. The record is from RNAcentral.